RNAcentral lists this unclassified non-coding RNA (1832 nucleotides) under Hevea brasiliensis (rubber tree). Lineage: Eukaryota; Viridiplantae; Streptophyta; Magnoliopsida; Malpighiales; Euphorbiaceae. The record is from RNAcentral.
CGACCCCAAAUUUUUGGAAUAAAAAUUUAGUUGAGUUGAGUUAAACGUUCUUGGCAUUUAGAAAACUAAUUUGGCAUUUUUCUAAUUUUCAUGCAUUAAGAGUUGCAUUGAUACAUGCUUAUUCAUUGCUUAAAACUUGAAUGCAAGUUUUCAUCUUUGAAACUGUUUUCACCGUAUGCAUAUCACUAUUUUGUUGCACCUGAAUAUAAGUUUGUAUCUUUGAAAGUGUCUUCGUAGUAUGAGUAUCGCUAUUUUGUUGCACCUCCUCGAAGAUCUGAAGCUGCACAGUUAUGGUUUCACUGUGCAGACAGCUUAUCAUUUUGAUAUAUGAUGCGAAGGACAAUGAAAUCAAAAACAAAUUUUCUGAAUAUUUGUUCCUGAUUGCAAAAUACCAUAAUUUACACAAUUGUUUAAGCCUUUAAUGUGCAGAUACAAAGCAAAGUUCUAAUUUUCUGGAUAAGCUGCACGAGUUAUUGGUUAGCUCCCCUUGAAAUUUUCACUCCCGGGUCAUACUCAGUAGGCUGCACACAACCUUUUAUAGGAGACCUUGUUGGUGAUUGAUUUAUCAUACGCAUCAUUUUUUGACACAUGUUUGCAUGUGUCCAGCUCCUGUUUCAACCAUCUUUAUGGGAAAUACCCCGUGAAUCUGUGACUGUUUUCUAGGUAUAGCUGCAAAAGAUUGACAGCUUCGGCUGCCAAGCACCACUGUGUGGUUUCACAGUUCUAGAGCAACUGCUUAUUGCAAAAUGCUAAAGGUUAGGAAACAUCUAGAGCACCCUUCCAUAACCCUGCUGAGGUAGUGCUUGCAAUUGGUAAUGAGCGUAAAAAACGUACUCUUGAUUCUUCUAGUGAGAAUCUAUCUCAUUGAAAAACACAUAUGCUAAGUUUUAGCAUUUAUUUUGCCAAGUGAGUGAUGAAAUGAGACACAAGACAGCUCCUUGUGUCGUGCUGGCAGAUUUAGGUAGUGAUAGAGCUGGUACUCUAACUGAGAAUGGAUUGGGUGAUCAAUGUUAAUUCUUAUCUGCUACAAGAUCUAAAAGAAUAGAUUCCAAAUUUUCCAUUACUUCAAUCAUCAUCGUUCUCAUAAUCAACUGUAUUAUUUCACUCUUCAGAAAAAUUGUUACCAGUAGUGGUACAACACUUCCAUGUUCAUGAUUCCAAUAUAAAAAUUCGAAUCACCUUUAUUAAUCAUCUGUGGGAAUGUUCAGAAUGAUGGAAAUCUACAUGCCAAGACAUAGAAAAUUAGCUGUGUUUAAGAAUCUAAAGCCAGAAUCUUAAGUGGUAAUGGCAGGUAAUUUGCUGUCCUAAACGGCAAACAGUGUAAGUGGUAAGGGAUGAUGGGAACUUUCUUGUGUUUGACUGUGGGAUUUGGGAUUCGGGAUUCACAUUUGUAGCAUAAACUACUUAAAAUAGUGUUCUAUAUUUGGAAUUUAUGUCAAAUUAAUCUUGUUUGUAGUUGUGUGUAAUCUACUAGUAAUUUUAUUGCAUUUGAUGUUGAGAUUUCUCAGAAUUCAAAUAUGCGUGAAAUUGCCUAUUUUAUCUCCCUUUAUUUUAUUGAAUUAGGACAUGAAAGUGAUGGAAUAAUCCCAUUUACAUAGCCUAUGCCAACUAUUGCAGUUAUGGCAUCCUGAUACCUGAUAUUGUUUUCGAAUACCGUGCAGGCCUUGCCACCAGCAGAUUUCAUGGCACUACAUUAACAUCUUUUAUCUGCCAAGAUAUACUUCCUACUGGCCCAUUGCAUCCUGAGAAAUAUGGAACAAGUAAUUGGUGCAGGCAUAUAAAAGUGGAAGAUGGUUCUGAUUUUAGUCUACUAUCAUCUAUUCCUGUUACAA